GCAUCGACUAGAAAGCAAGUCAGAAAAAUCUGAAUGAUCAAUUGAUCGUGUCAUGAAGGUAUACGUGGGUUAGGCUUACAUCACAAUAAUGAUAUAAUGAUUAUAGAUUAUCUAGUUGAGCGAUGCCACGGACCGUAUUCCAUUCCCGGCCAUAUUAACCAAUGCUAGACGGGCAAAGAAUAUGUAUGUCGCGUGAUUUACCGCAAUAACCUUGACACUGACAGCGACUAACCUGAGUACGGUUAAACUUGUUCCCGUUCGAAUGUACAGAGCUUCUAAUGCACUGAAUUUAGGCGGUAGAUGUAAAACACAAGGAUAUAUAUUUGAAAGGAAACUAUAUCGUUUAACACAUUCAGCAACGUAGAAGCACCCCCGCCGUACGGAGCUUUAAUGUGCCCCGAGAUCCGCCAAAAACCGCCAUCUUGCUUAGUGACGUCAAGCACACAAGUCGGGGGAAAAAGCAGAUAACAGAAUUUCUUCUGAAGACCCUUAAGAAGAAACUCGCGUGUUCAAAAGUGCAACGCGUUAAACACAGUCCGUUGUCACUGGAAAAAAAAAAUGUCGGAAAUCACCUUGAAGUAAAGUACUUGGAUACACUAUGCCACUAGUAGCCCACUACGAGUUGCGUGGAACACGUUCCGCCAGUGUUCAUUACUCAAGGUCGUCCUUCCGAUGUCCCUAACCAAGAAGUGGAAAAGCAACGAGAGUGAAGGAAAAAAAUGACGGUCCAGAAAAAAAGUGAAAAUUAUCUAAGAAACACUCACCUAAUUCCAUUGGAUACAACCAGCUGUUGAUGUCGAGGAUCAGGUCCAUCUUGAAGGACUCGGACUCGCAAUGGAGUCUGCUCACUGCAACCCAUCAUC
This is a long non-coding RNA of Osmia lignaria (orchard mason bee), 863 nucleotides long. RefSeq lists it as uncharacterized. NCBI's taxonomy places the organism in Eukaryota, Metazoa, Arthropoda, Insecta, Hymenoptera, Megachilidae. The record is from RefSeq and is a predicted model, not a curated record.